Molecule: long non-coding RNA, 252 nt
Organism: Gavialis gangeticus (Gharial)
Lineage: Eukaryota; Metazoa; Chordata; Crocodylia; Gavialidae
Exons: 3
Source: RefSeq, a predicted model, not a curated record
UAAGCUAUAUUUCCUGUAUACAUUCUUGGACUGCCAGAAACUGAGCCUGGGCAUCUUCCAGAAGUGUUAAAAAAUUAAUCAGACCAGUGAAGCACAUGUGAAGACAAUGGUGAAUCCUGACAAACUUUUAGAUGACUUCUCACAGAUAGAAAAGAAAAUGUCAGAAAUUAAUGAAAAGAAUAACCUUCUGGUUCUUCAACUAGAAAAAUCCAACAGGCUAUUAACAUUAAGCCAAUCAAAGGAAGAUUCAAU